RNAcentral lists this ribosomal RNA (253 nucleotides) under uncultured bacterium. RNAcentral's name for it is "partial 16S ribosomal RNA". It matches the Rfam family "Bacterial small subunit ribosomal RNA", at positions 524 to 776 of the family's 1533-position model. The record is from RNAcentral.
UACGGAGGGUGCAAGCGUUAUCCGGAAUCAUUGGGCGUAAAGCGUCCGCAGGCUGUCUAUUAAGUCAAGUAUUAAAUCUCGGAGCCCAACUUCGAGGCCGUGCUUGAAACUGAUAGACUAGAGUCUUUCAGAGGUGCGUGGAAUUCUGUGUGUAGGGGUAAAAUCCGUAGAUACACAGAGGAACACCAAAAGCGAAGGCAGCGCACUAGGAAAGUACUGACGCUCAUGGACGAAAGCGUGGGGAGCGAACGGG